RNAcentral lists this ribosomal RNA (837 nucleotides) under Limosilactobacillus reuteri. RNAcentral's name for it is "bacterial SSU rRNA". It matches the Rfam family "Bacterial small subunit ribosomal RNA", at positions 705 to 1533 of the family's 1533-position model. Lineage: Bacteria; Bacillati; Bacillota; Bacilli; Lactobacillales; Lactobacillaceae. The record is from RNAcentral.
AACACCAGUGGCGAAGGCGGCUGUCUGGUCUGCAACUGACGCUGAGGCUCGAAAGCAUGGGUAGCGAACAGGAUUAGAUACCCUGGUAGUCCAUGCCGUAAACGAUGAGUGCUAGGUGUUGGAGGGUUUCCGCCCUUCAGUGCCGGAGCUAACGCAUUAAGCACUCCGCCUGGGGAGUACGACCGCAAGGUUGAAACUCAAAGGAAUUGACGGGGGCCCGCACAAGCGGUGGAGCAUGUGGUUUAAUUCGAAGCUACGCGAAGAACCUUACCAGGUCUUGACAUCUUGCGCUAACCUUAGAGAUAAGGCGUUCCCUUCGGGGACGCAAUGACAGGUGGUGCAUGGUCGUCGUCAGCUCGUGUCGUGAGAUGUUGGGUUAAGUCCCGCAACGAGCGCAACCCUUGUUACUAGUUGCCAGCAUUAAGUUGGGCACUCUAGUGAGACUGCCGGUGACAAACCGGAGGAAGGUGGGGACGACGUCAGAUCAUCAUGCCCCUUAUGACCUGGGCUACACACGUGCUACAAUGGACGGUACAACGAGUCGCAAAUUCGCGAGAGUAAGCUAAUCUCUUAAAGCCGUUCUCAGUUCGGACUGUAGGCUGCAACUCGCCUACACGAAGUCGGAAUCGCUAGUAAUCGCGGAUCAGCAUGCCGCGGUGAAUACGUUCCCGGGCCUUGUACACACCGCCCGUCACACCAUGGGAGUUUGUAACGCCCAAAGUCGGUGGCCUAACCUUUAUGGAGGGAGCCGCCUAAGGCGGGACAGAUGACUGGGGUGAAGUCGUAACAAGGUAGCCGUAGGAGAACCUGCGGCUGGAUCACCUCCUUUCUAAGGAA